Long non-coding RNA from Aquila chrysaetos chrysaetos, 1965 nucleotides. RefSeq lists it as uncharacterized. NCBI's taxonomy places the organism in Eukaryota, Metazoa, Chordata, Aves, Accipitriformes, Accipitridae. The transcript is spliced from 3 exons. The record is from RefSeq and is a predicted model, not a curated record.
AUUAUGUGAGCAGUCACUUUGGUCAUAUGAGGAAGCUAGCACCCCUCAGUUGGAUGACAAGGAUCUUUGAAGCAGAAAAAUUAUCGUAACCACCUCCCAGCACACACGUUCUCUGCAAGGCACCUUCUGGAUAAUGCUGCACUUGAUGAUCAAAAUUCCCAACAAUUCCUUCAUUUGUGAUGUGUGCAGCAAUGCAUGGGUAUAAAGAACAACAUGAGACCUACAAAUCAUCAUGCACAGAUGUCAGCAUUUUUAUUUUUAAAAAUAAUUCUAAUUGCUUUAUGAUUUGAGAUUUCCUUAAAAUGUUUAAAAUUUACCCAUGUUUAAUGCCCAUUAAGUAAUAAAAAAGAAAAAAAGAGUUUGUGGUUGUUACAGCCUAGAAAUGUAAAAGAUUACAACAGUUUGGUCCCUUAUUUUUAUUUUCAUGAUAAACCAGCUUGUUGUUUAUUAAUGCAUAAUGUGAUUAUGAACUUUCCACCUGCCCUAUCACUAAGUGGUACAUUGAAAAUCAUAGGACAGUGGGAUGAACAGGAGGAGGCCACAUGAGAUCCCUUCCAGUACUGUUGUCUGAGCUCCUGUGGAAAGAGUCCUCUGGAAAUUUUCCUUAAUGACACUGCAACUGAAAUCACAUUAAAAGUUGCAUCCAUGCCUUAUACAGUGUCGUGUGUACAGUAACCUGCUAGAAAUCUGUAGCUCACAGAAAUCAGAAGUAUCACAGUUUUCUUUCCAGACUAAGCAAACCUGCCACUUACUGUCAUAAAGAUGUCCUCUUCAGGUCACACUAUGUUGUUCAUCCCUGGCAACUUUUGAUGUAGUGUUACCAGUAAUCUUCAAAAGUUGCUAUGUUUUACCCAAAAAAUAUUAGAACUGACUGUAUGGUUAACAUCAAAACAUGAUAUGGGUGAGUAGUAAAAAACUUCUCCUUACUUUCAUGGUGCUGCAAAAAAUGAUUUGGAUACAGUAAAAAAAAAUUGUAAUUGCUCAGUAUAAAAAGGCAAACUAUGGUGGUGGGAGUUUUUUCAUUGUUUAAAUGGUUUUGUUUCUACUUUUGCUUCUCUGCUUCAUGUUUCCAUCAUUUACAAGAAGCAGAAUACUGAAACCACAAAAACUUAUUUUCACAGGAAUCUAACUGCAGUGAAAUCUCCCAAGAAAACUCAAUAUCUAGACUCCACGAUGAAGGUCCACUCCUCUGCCUCACCUGGAUUUAAGUCCUAUGUCAAUCAUGCCAUCAGGCUGCCUGUGUUCUCCAUUAGCCUCCUGCCUCUCCUGUCCUUCUCGCCCUCCCUACCCAGCCAACUCUGACUGUUCUCCAGAGUCUGAACACCAACGCUUCUGGAACUUACAGCUUCAAAAAAAUCACCAAAAACCCAGCUAUUUUCUACCAGAAUCCUAAUCCUGCAGUGCUCCUGCCAGCCUCCAACAGCCAGCACGCUUUCUGCAGUGCAAGAAGCACACAAGUUCUACGCGGCCUCCUGACAGUGGGACAGAGAGAGGGUGUCUCUAAAACUUAAACCAUUUAAAAAUCUGCCAUUUUAGCACUCAGUCAAGACUCUUUUUUCAUUACUUUUCACUAUGAGGAGUUUGCAAUCAUUUUCUCCAAUCAUUCCAGUCCUCUUUCUCUUUGCUGUAGCAAGAUGUGGAGUAGAAAUCCCAAACAGUCCUCAUCAAUGCACCUCAAGAACCAUUUUAUGACCCUCAUAUAACACUUUACAUGACUGUUUAAUUUCCUAUUUAAAACAAAUUAACCGUUGCAUGCUCUAAUCAGGACACAAAGAAUCCCAGAUCUUGUCUGGAAGUAUGUGGAGGUUACUGAGAGGUUGUCCAGAUUGAUGGUUGCGCUGAGUGUAUGACCUUAGAAUGAACUUUGAGUAAACUUUGCUCUUUGUGCACUUGGCAGUCUGUAUUUGGAAAGCAUCAACUGUCUACAUUCAACGUAUUAAAUGUAAGGCAUAUGCUUUUCACAGA